Molecule: long non-coding RNA, 248 nt
Organism: Colias croceus (clouded yellow)
Lineage: Eukaryota; Metazoa; Arthropoda; Insecta; Lepidoptera; Pieridae
Exons: 2
Source: RefSeq, a predicted model, not a curated record
CACAAAUUACGAUAGUAAAAUAAAGAAAGAUAGAGGAAUAUCAUAUCACAGGCACCACUAUUAUUAUAUCCUACAAGUUGGAGUGAUGACCUUGUACGGGUUCCGGGAACUGCCUUGAAACGAAUAGCGUAAGAUCGGUCCGUAUGGAGUUCUAUAAGGAGGACUAUGCUCAGCAGUGGGUGUUUAUCGGGUGAAAUGAUGAUGACCGAAAACGAACACCACAGCUAGUAAUAAAUGCUUAAUACAGU